UCCUACGGGAGGCAGCAGCAGGGAAUCUUGCGCAAUGGGCGAAAGCCUGACGCAGCAACGCCGCGUGGGGGAUGAAGGCCUUCGGGUUGUAAACCCCUAACAGGAGGGAAGAAAUUGACGGUACCUCCAGAAGAAGCUCCGUCCAACUACGUGCCAGCAGCCGCGGUAAUACGUAGGGUGCAAGCGUUAUCCGGAAUCAUUGGGCGUA
RNAcentral lists this ribosomal RNA (208 nucleotides) under uncultured bacterium. RNAcentral's name for it is "partial 16S ribosomal RNA". It matches the Rfam family "Bacterial small subunit ribosomal RNA", at positions 337 to 562 of the family's 1533-position model. The record is from RNAcentral.